CGAGGUAGAUCACCGCUGCCCAUAGCGGCGCCGUCGUCGGAGCAUGGCAGAGCCGCCGUGCCAGAAUUUUGAAAUUGGCCGAGUAGGUCCUAGGUCUGAUUUUUGGGUUAUUUGGGACAUGUGUAGGUACCGUAAACGCGUUUUAGUUUCCGAGAAAAAAUUUAGGAAACUUAGUGAGUGCCCCCGUAGGCGCAGUAACAAUCUAGUUUUCGGCGUCGAA
RNAcentral lists this long non-coding RNA (220 nucleotides) under Carica papaya (papaya). RNAcentral's name for it is "long non-coding RNA (CPAP_LNC016679)". Lineage: Eukaryota; Viridiplantae; Streptophyta; Magnoliopsida; Brassicales; Caricaceae. The record is from RNAcentral.